AAAAAAAAUUUCAUUUUGUUUCUUUUUUCUUGUUCCACUAUUGCAGCAUCGUCUACAACAUAUCCCAUUAAUAAUUUUAAAUCAAACGCAAUAGGAGAGAUACACGUCUCCGAUUAAUAUGCAUUCGUUUCUUGGAUUGGCUUUCUCUCCGUAAUCAGCUCAAAUUCAUUGGAGAGCCGGUGAAUUUUGUCGCCGUCUCUUUCUUACACGACCUCCGUGUAAACAACAAUUCUCCCCGCUCACUCUUCAAUUCAAUUUUAUCGGAGCUCAAGAUUGGAGCCCUUGGGUUCCAUAGAUACUAUCUUCUUAUGGUAUACAUUUCUUCUAUGAGAGCUUGUUUAAUGGAAACCAUCAACAUGAUUAAAAGAUUUGAAGUUUCUGGAAAAAAUAAAGAGAAGAAGUAAAACGAUGAAGAAGAAGAAGCAAGGAGAAGAAGUCAAACAUAAGGGCAAAACAGUCAAUUUGCGUAUAUAAAAGUUCCUUUUUUACAAACAACGUGAAAGUAUCCAUUUUCAAAUAUUUUUCAGAAAAAGUACCUAUAUCAACAAUAACCCACUAUUUAGUUAGUUUGAUAUAAAUAUUUUUUU
This 587-nucleotide small RNA is filed under the name Arabidopsis thaliana (thale cress). Its description in RNAcentral is "ATSL101100". Lineage: Eukaryota; Viridiplantae; Streptophyta; Magnoliopsida; Brassicales; Brassicaceae. The record is from RNAcentral.